RNAcentral lists this long non-coding RNA (418 nucleotides) under Musa acuminata (dwarf banana). RNAcentral's name for it is "long non-coding RNA (MACU_LNC009940)". The record is from RNAcentral. Lineage: Eukaryota; Viridiplantae; Streptophyta; Magnoliopsida; Zingiberales; Musaceae.
GUUUUAUCAUUUGGUAUCAGAGCGACGACCCUUGGCGUUCUCGCUGCAGCCACGAACGUCGAUCCUUCUCAACCGAGGAGGAACCUCCCCUUCUCCACCGCUGUGGCAGCCACCAUCGCUGCUGCCCCCUUGCUGCAGUUAUCUUCAUCUUAAGAAAAAAAAAAAAGAAAGAAAGGAAGAAAGAAAGAAAUUUUAACGAAGAGAGAGAAGAAAAGAAGCCGCAGCCACGCACCCCUGCUUCUCUCGCUUGCGGCCAGCACACCGCCGGCCGUCGCUGUUCUCCGGCCAGCGACCGACCCUGCCCCGCUUCCGGCCAGAGUCCACCGUGGCCGUCGCCUCCCACUCGAGUCACCACCGCUGCCAGGAGACGACGCUGCCAGCGUCCCACUCCGCCGAAGCCCUGCUCCUCUUCUCUACC